Molecule: long non-coding RNA, 584 nt
Organism: Brassica napus (rape)
Lineage: Eukaryota; Viridiplantae; Streptophyta; Magnoliopsida; Brassicales; Brassicaceae
Exons: 2
Source: RefSeq, a predicted model, not a curated record
AGGAAGGAGAAGUAGUGGUGAGGCAGACCGGCGUCUCCGGUUAAGCGUGGUGCGGCGAUGGUGUGACAGACCGGCGCUGGAGUCUUUUUUUUUUUUUUUUUUUUUUUGUAAUUGUCAAUGUAUCCGAGUCAUUCGUUUCCAGGCCUGAGAUGCAGAAGGUCCUUCACUUCCUCUUAACCUUUAGCUGUGCGCUUAUCGCAAUGGAACAUACUUUAAAGUGUUGAACUUUUUCUUCUUUUGGCUGGAGAUUGAGAUGCUUCAGGAUUCUAAUCUAUCAAUAUUUAAAUCUGAAGCCAAAAGUUCUCAGGUUGAGAUGGAGAGAACAGAUCCGGAGGCGGAGAGAGAAUAGACGCUAUAGGAGCUUGUCGGAGGAAUGGUAGAAGAAGCUUGACGACGGAGGAGGUAAGGCCUGGUCGUGCGGCGGAGAUGCGAGUGCGGCAGAGACUGAAGAAGAACAUGGUUUAGUGGCUGUAUUAGGUUUAGUUAGGGUUAGUUAAUAAACCAAUUUGUAAUAGUAAACAAUGUAAACCAAAAUUCAAUUUAUUGUAAACUAAAUUUAAUUUAUAAAUAAAAUUAAUUGUAUU